CAAGGAAUUUUCCGCAAUGGGCGCAAGCCUGACGGAGCAACGCCGCGUGGGGGAUGAAGGCUCUAGGGUUGUAAACCCCUUUUGCGAGGGAAGAAGAUCUGACGGUACCUCGCGAAUAAGCCACGGCUAACUACGUGCCAGCAGCCGCGGUAAUACGUAGGUGGCAAGCGUUGUCCGGAUUUACUGGGCGUAAAGCGCGCGCAGGCGGGCCAAUAAGUCCCGGGUUAAAUUCCACGGCUCAACCGUGGGCAGCCCCGGGAUACUGCUGGCCUUGAGGCAUCCAGAGGAGAGUGGAAUUCCCGGUGUAGUGGUGGAAUGCGUAGAUAUCGGGAGGAACACCAGUGGCGAAAGCGGCUCUCUGGGGAUGUCCUGACGCUGAGGCGCGAAAGCGUGGGGAGCGAACCGG
This 406-nucleotide ribosomal RNA is filed under the name uncultured bacterium. RNAcentral describes it as "bacterial SSU rRNA". It matches the Rfam family "Bacterial small subunit ribosomal RNA", at positions 355 to 776 of the family's 1533-position model. The record is from RNAcentral.